AUUAGAACAUUUAUUGAUCACCAACAUAAGUCAUCUGAUAGUGCCCAAGCAAAUGCCAGGAGACAUGUGGCAGACAUGCUUAUAAAUAAUAAAUUCUCUGAAAUUCUUGAGUUUAUCAUGCUAUAUAGGGGUAGGGUUAUCUCAACUCAUCGGCUGAAUAAUGUUAUGUCAAAUUUGCACUCAGGGAAGCAGAUGUUGGGGUACUACAGCCAGAGUUUAGAAGAAGCUGGAAAAACCACAUCUUCUAAAGAACAGUGGACGGUGACAGCAGCCAGAGCCAAAGCUUCUGAAACCAGAGCCACAACCGUAGCCUCCGAGGCCAGAGCCAUAGCCCAGCCUGCGGAAGCUGCCGCAUCCGCAGCCAUGGCCAAAGCCCAGGCCACCAAAGCCUCUGUAGCCGUAGCCCAGGCCUCUGUAAUGGUUGCUGUAAUGGCACAUGGUGUCAGGGGUGGUGAGUCCGGUUUGCUGUUCAAAACCAGGUUCUGAGUGUGGAUUCUGUGGAAGGAGAGGGAG
Long non-coding RNA from Capra hircus (goat), 513 nucleotides. RefSeq lists it as uncharacterized. Lineage: Eukaryota; Metazoa; Chordata; Mammalia; Artiodactyla; Bovidae. The record is from RefSeq and is a predicted model, not a curated record. The transcript has 4 exons.